AUUGAACGCUGGCGGCAGGCCUAACACAUGCAAGUCGAGCGGAUGAAGGGAGCUUGCUCCUGGAUUCAGCGGCGGACGGGUGAGUAAUGCCUAGGAAUCUGCCUGGUAGUGGGGGAUAACGUCCGGAAACGGGCGCUAAUACCGCAUACGUCCUGAGGGAGAAAGUGGGGGAUCUUCGGACCUCACGCUAUCAGAUGAGCCUAGGUCGGAUUAGCUAGUUGGUGGGGUAAAGGCCUACCAAGGCGACGAUCCGUAACUGGUCUGAGAGGAUGAUCAGUCACACUGGAACUGAGACACGGUCCAGACUCCGACGGGAGGCAGCAGUGGGGAAUAUUGGACAAUGGGCGAAAGCCUGAUCCAGCCAUGCCGCGUGUGUGAAGAAGGUCUUCGGAUUGUAAAGCACUUUAAGUUGGGAGGAAGGGCAGUAAGUUAAGACCUUGCUGUUUUGACGUUACCAACAGAAUAAGCACCGGCUAACUUCGU
This 483-nucleotide ribosomal RNA is filed under the name uncultured bacterium. RNAcentral's name for it is "partial 16S ribosomal RNA". It matches the Rfam family "Bacterial small subunit ribosomal RNA", at positions 30 to 506 of the family's 1533-position model. The record is from RNAcentral.